This is a non-coding RNA of Paramuricea clavata, 361 nucleotides long. The record is from the annotation of a GenBank genome assembly. Lineage: Eukaryota; Metazoa; Cnidaria; Anthozoa; Malacalcyonacea; Plexauridae.
GAAACUAUUUGAAGCAAUGUUUAGGUUGGGUUCAUGAUCUUGAAGUUGUAGGUCAAAUUAUGAUACCAAGGUGUGUGUAUGGAAAUCUAAUUGGAAAACCCAAUUGUUCAUUACAUGGGUUUGGUGAUGCUAGUUUGAAAACCUAUUGUGCAGUUGUGUAUUAUGUAUGUGAAUUAAGUUCAGACAAGACUAGUUACAAAAUUGAAGAGAAUGAUGCGACAAAGGUUAAGCGUAGGUUUAGGCAUCUAGCGAAACUGCGAGUUCACUUUUGGGAGAGAUGGAGAAAAGAAUACUUGACGAAUUUGAGAGAGCAUCAUAGAAGUAAGAGGGAGAAGAGGGAUAGGAACGUGAAGAAGGGAGA